This 403-nucleotide ribosomal RNA is filed under the name uncultured bacterium. Its description in RNAcentral is "partial 16S ribosomal RNA". It matches the Rfam family "Bacterial small subunit ribosomal RNA", at positions 28 to 526 of the family's 1533-position model. The record is from RNAcentral.
GACGAACGCUGGCGGCAGGCCUAACACAUGCAAGUCGAGCGAGCGGCGGACGGGUGAGUAAUGUAUGGGGACUGCCCGAUAGAGGGGGCUAACUACUGGAAACGUUGGCUAAUACCGCAUACUAUCGGAUAACCCAUAUGGGAUUAGCUAGUAGGUGGGGUAAAGGCUCACCUAGGCGCCGAUCGCUAGCUGGUCUGAGAGGAUGAUCAGCGACAAUGGGACUGAGACACGGCCCAGACUCCUACGGAGGCAGCGGUUGGGAAUAUUGCACAAUGGGGGCAAGCCUGAUGCAGCCAUGCCGCGUGUAUGAAGAAGGCCUUAGGGUUGUAAAGUACUUUCAGCGGUGAGGCGUUACCCGCAGAAGAAGCACCGGCUAACUCCGUGCCAGCAGCCGCGGUAAUAC